RNAcentral lists this transfer RNA (90 nucleotides) under bacterium. RNAcentral describes it as "tRNA-Ser". It matches the Rfam family "tRNA". From Rfam's summary of the family: Transfer RNA (tRNA) molecules are approximately 80 nucleotides in length. RNAcentral also lists the same sequence under 2 other names. The record is from RNAcentral.
GGAGAGAUGGCAGAGUGGUCGAUCGCGCUAGCUUGGAAAGUUAGUGUAGGGGCAACCCUACCGUGGGUUCGAAUCCCACUCUCUCCGCCA